This 27-nucleotide non-coding RNA is filed under the name Cricetulus griseus (Chinese hamster). Lineage: Eukaryota; Metazoa; Chordata; Mammalia; Rodentia; Cricetidae. The record is from RNAcentral.
CAUGAAGUUCGGAUUGGCUGGUCACUA